AAGACGAACCGUGCGAACGUUAUUCGGAAUCACUGGGCUUAAAGCGCGUGUAGGCGGCCCGGCACGUCAUCGGCUGAAAUCCCCCGGCUCAACCGGGGAAGGGGCCGUGAUACGACCGGGCUGGAGGGGGGUAGGGGGGACGGGAACUCACGGUGGAGCGGUGAAAUGCGUUGAGAUCGUGAGGAACGCCCGCGGCGAAAGCGCGUCCCUGGACCCCACCUGACGCUGAGACGCGAAAGCCAGGGGAGCGAACGGGA
This 257-nucleotide ribosomal RNA is filed under the name uncultured prokaryote. Its description in RNAcentral is "partial 16S ribosomal RNA". It matches the Rfam family "Bacterial small subunit ribosomal RNA", at positions 522 to 777 of the family's 1533-position model. The record is from RNAcentral.